UACGAAGGGGGCUAGCGUUGUUCGGAAUUACUGGGCGUAAAGCGUGCGCAGGCGGCUUCUCAAGUCAGGGGUGAAAGCCCAGAGCUCAACUCUGGAAUUGCCUUUGAGACUGAGUGGCUUGAGUACGAGAGAGGUGAGUGGAAUUCCCAGUGUAGAGGUGAAAUUCGUAGAUAUUGGGAAGAACACCGGUGGCGAAGGCGGCUCACUGGCUCAUUACUGACGCUCAGGCGCGACAGCGUGGGGAUCAAACAGG
Molecule: ribosomal RNA, 253 nt
Filed under: uncultured bacterium
Lineage: Bacteria
Description: partial 16S ribosomal RNA
Rfam family: Bacterial small subunit ribosomal RNA
Source: RNAcentral